Molecule: ribosomal RNA, 253 nt
Filed under: uncultured bacterium
Lineage: Bacteria
Description: partial 16S ribosomal RNA
Rfam family: Bacterial small subunit ribosomal RNA
Source: RNAcentral
UACGAGGGGGGCAAAUGUUGUUCGGAAUCACUGGGCGUAAAGGGUGCGUAGGCGGGUUUUUAAGUCAGGUGUUUAAUCCCGGGGCCCAACCCCGGACAGGCACUUGAAACUGGGAAUCUUGAAUAGGGGAGAGGUCGGUGGAAUUGGAGGUGUAGCGGUGGAAUGCGUAGAGAUCUCCAAGAACACCCGUUGCGAAGGCGGCCGACUGGACCCAUAUUGACGCUGAGGCUCGAAAGCAUGGGGAGCAAACAGG